This 406-nucleotide ribosomal RNA is filed under the name uncultured bacterium. Its description in RNAcentral is "partial 16S ribosomal RNA". It matches the Rfam family "Bacterial small subunit ribosomal RNA", at positions 29 to 526 of the family's 1533-position model. The record is from RNAcentral.
AUUGAACGCUGGCGGCAGGCCUAACACAUGCAAGUCGAGCGAGCGGCGGACGGGUGAGUAAUGUCUGGGAAACUGCCUGAUGGAGGGGGAUAACUACUGGAAACGGUAGCUAAUACCGCAUACCAUCAGAUGUGCCCAGAUGGGGUUGGCUAGUAGGUGGGGUAACGGCUCACCUAGGCGCCGAUCCCUAGCUGGUCUGAGAGGAUGACCAGCCACACGGGAACUGAGACACGGUCCAGACUCCUACGGGAGGCAGCAGUGGGGAAUAUUGGACAAUGGGGGCAAGCCUGAUGCAGCCAUGCCGCGUGUGUGAAGAAGGCCUUCGGGUUGUAAAGCACGUUCAGCGGGGAGGCGGUACCCGCAGAAGAAGCACCGGCUAACUACGUGCCAGCAGCCGCGGUAAUUC